Myodes glareolus (Bank vole) is the source of this 332-nucleotide long non-coding RNA. RefSeq lists it as uncharacterized. NCBI's taxonomy places the organism in Eukaryota, Metazoa, Chordata, Mammalia, Rodentia, Cricetidae. The record is from RefSeq and is a predicted model, not a curated record.
CCAUACAGGCCAGAAAAAGGUGUCAGAUCCCCUGGAACAGCAGUUAAAGGUUGUUAUGAGUCACCUGAUAUAUAAGUAAUGGAACUGACCUCAGGCUUUUUGCAAGAACACGUAUACAGCUCACAGAAAUCUUCCAGGCAGUGCAGGAGUCACACGUGACUGUAGAUGAGAAGGACUAGCCUGACGACUCACACGCACUACAGGACUUCCAGGCAACAGCCGAGCUCUCAGAGUACACCUGUACAUCAUCCUCCUCUGGGAUCACUGGCUACUUCCAAGACACCACGGACACCCAAGAGUCUAGCCCAGCAGCAGCUUGAGCCUUGUGCUUC